GGUUUUUUGAAAAAAAAUAAAAAAUCUGACCUGCCCGGUGAUAGAUUUAACGGCCGCGGUAAAUUAACUGUGCUAAGGUAGCAUAAUAAAUUGUCUAUUAAUUGUAGACUAGAAUGAAGGGUUUGACUUAAAAUCAAUUGUCUUGAUAAAAAAUUGAAUUUUUUAUUUUUAUGAGGAGAUAAAAAUGAAAUGGUGGGACGAGAAGACCCUAUUGAGCUUUAUAAAUUAUUGGUUUAUUAUGUGUAGGUAUUAAAAAUUAAGAUUUUAUUUUGCUGGGGCGGUGAAGAUGAAUUAUAACCAUUUAAAAAUUAAGUAUUAAUAGGUAUGGAUGGAUCCAAAAGUUUUGAUUGUAAGACUAAGUUACUGUAGGGAUAACAGCGUAAUUUCUUCUUGAAGUUCAAAUUUAUGAAGGAGGUUGCGACCUCGAUGUUGGUUUAGGAUGUCUUUUAGGUGAAGUAACUUAAAAAGAUAGUCUGUUCGACUAUAAAAUUCCUAUA
RNAcentral lists this ribosomal RNA (497 nucleotides) under Newportia oreina. Its description in RNAcentral is "partial small subunit ribosomal RNA". It matches the Rfam family "Bacterial large subunit ribosomal RNA", at positions 1819 to 2600 of the family's 2925-position model. Lineage: Eukaryota; Metazoa; Arthropoda; Chilopoda; Scolopendromorpha; Scolopocryptopidae. The record is from RNAcentral.